CACCAGACUUGGGUUAGCGAGUGGUCACGG
This 30-nucleotide non-coding RNA is filed under the name Alexandrium minutum. Lineage: Eukaryota; Dinophyceae; Gonyaulacales; Pyrocystaceae. The record is from RNAcentral.